UGAUGUGCUCUUCCAGGAAGUCUUGAUAAUUACUCAGGUGUGAGCACUCAGGAUUUGUUGGCAGUCUGGGUGCGAGAAGAGUCCAGAAGUCUUUCCAAUAGCUUUUAAAAAAUAUUUUGGGAUUGUGCAUAUUUAUUUUGUCAACGACCAAGUGGUCAAGAGCUGGCCCUGAACUCGAAGCAGUGUAAAUUCAGAUGCAUAGAUUAAACCAAGGAAUCCUCUUUUAAAGAAGCAUUCUCUACGCCCUGACUGGUUAGUCUUCUCUACACUCUGAUACUACUACCCUGGUGUGACCUGAGGCUCAGCCGACGUCAUGGCUAUCUCUCCUACCGUAACCCUCCACCUGGACGAUGGUGUGGUGCGCGGUCUGGACCUGCAGUCCUGUGCUCUCCAGCUGUGUAAAGGACAUGGUCACUGUGUGGCUCAGGGACAGGCCACCACCUGUGAGUGUAUCCUGGGGUACAGAGGAGAGUUCUGCCAUGAGAGUGUCAAUGAGGCAAUCGGUGUUCCGCUCACCCUGGGGGUAGUGGCCUUUAUCGUUGGCAUCCUCAUCCUCUCCUUCCUCAUUGCGUUCAUCAGGCAGAGGGUCAAGGUCAAAAGGAAAGCUGCAGCCAAGGAUUCAAGUGGUUUAGAAAAAGACAUUCUGUAGCAUCAAGGUUUGGUUGACGGUCCAACAUCCGAGCACAUCCCCUUCAUCAGGCUUUAUCCCCGGUAGAAACAAUUAUAUACUGUAGUACUAUUUAUAUAAACAACUAUUUACUGUAGUACUCUUCAUAUGAACUACAUGUGUUAGUGUUAACUACCAUAGCACUACUAUGCUGUAGUACUCUUCAUAUGAACUACAUGUGUUAGUGUUAACUACCAUAGCACUACUAUGCUGUGGUACUAAUAGACAUCCAUAUAUGUUGGGACGACUCGUGAAAAGUAAGGACUGUUUUUGGCGAUAGCUGUGUUCGAAUACUAACAAACUGUAUACUACAUACUUAAUAAGUGUAUAUUACAUACUAUAUACUGUUUGUUGAUUUUUAGUAUACUGUAAAUGACCGGCAUCCUUUCAGUUGAUUGUACUAGCGCUUUGCCUGUCUAUCUGUAGUUGAUGCUGUUGCUAUGCAACUUCUUGUUAGCAUAGCUAACAAAUUAAUAGCUAGACGUUUUAUGACUUCAUUGAGAACCCACAACGGCUAUACCACUUAGCUAAGCCAAGAAUAAUCAAGCCAAUAAAUGUUGGGUAGUUAGCAUAUAGUUAAUAUACUGGCAAGUUUGUAUUAGUAACUAGCUAACAUGCAGUACCUACAAGCAACUGCUGUAAUGAUACGUUAUGCAGUUCUAUGCUAACAAACUGUCAGCGAACGUAACGUGACUUAUUUGAAAAGUCGUUACUCCAGAGUGGUGCAGCGGUCUAAGGCACUGCAUCUCAGUGCUAACGGUGUCACUACAGACCCUGGUUCGAUUCCAGGCUGUAUCACAACCGACCGUGAUUAGGAGUCCCAUAGGGCGGCGCACAAUUGGCCCAGGGUCGUUAGGGUUUGGCCGGGGUAGGCCGUCAUUUAAAAAAAUAAUUUGUUCUCAACUGAUUUGCCUAGUUAAACCCCAAUAUUAAAGGUUACAUAAAAAUUACAUUUCUCAACAAUUUCCUUCCGUUUGAGCCUGGCCUGACUGGCUUACCUCCUUUAGAGCCUGACUGGCUUACCCCCUUUAGAGCCUGACUGGCUUACCCCCUUUAGAGCCUGACUGGCUUACCCCCUUUAGAGCCUGACUGGCUUACCCCUUUAGAGCCUGACUGGCUUACCCCCUUUAGAGCCUGACUGGCUUACCCCCUUUAGAGCCUGACUGGCUUACCCCCUUUAGAGCCUGACUGGCUUACCACCUUUAGAGCCUGACUGGCUUACCCCCUUUAGAGCCUGACUGGCUUACCACCUUUAGAGCCUGACUGUUAGUGUUGUCUGACUCAGGACAAGUGAUUGAAAGAGAAGUGAUUGAAAGACACACCUAAGCAGUGGAAACAUUUAACACGUUUUCUCCAAAACAUGACAGGAAUUUCAACGCUGGUAAACCAGUCAGUCCAACAGUGUUUUUCAUUGGCAACAGAAAACAUCCGCUGGGGAUUGAGGUUUGAAAAUAAACACUGUUCUAUACAGGCUGUAGUGUUCGUCAAAACAGGUUUCGUCUUGCAUGCUUAGGAUUGCAUGACUGUCCCUAUUGUGCUGCUGAGUGCCUUAGAUCAAAGUGAAGUUUACUGUCCAACAUCAGAGCUUGGCCUUUUCAUUGGCUCCAUCCCUGGUACAUGUAUAAAUAACUAUAUAUUGUAGUACUAUUCAUAUAAACAACUAAAUAAUUAUAUACGUGACUACUGUAUACAGUAUACUGAAGUACUAUUCAUAUAAACAACUAUAUACUGUAGUACUAUUCUAGUACUACUAGUGUUAACUACUAUACAAUAGGACUUGUUAUAUAAACAAAUAUGCUGUGGUACUAAUAUAAAACCACAUGGUGGGACUACUCGUAUAAAGGACUGGUUUGUUUUUGGUUACGUCUUUAUACUGACUAACUUUAUACUUUUUUUCUGGGAAACCAAAGCCUCGACGAGCAGCAGCUUUUCUCACACUGAUCCUGGCCUGUCUAGUUUAUAUGGUGAUACAUGCUGUUAUGACUGAUUAGUGUGGUGAUGCACUCUGUUGCCUGACUGGUUUGUGCUGCUUGUGGCUGUGUUGCCUGACUGUUGCCUGACUGGUUUGUGCUGCUUGUGGCUGUGUUGCCUGACUGUUGCCUGACUGGUUUGUGUUGCUUGUGGCUGUGUUGCUUGUGGUUUGUGUUAACACUAAGUCAGGCAACACAAAAUCAGUUAUCUCUGACUCAUUAGUGACUAAUAGACCUAAGCAAUGGCAACAUUCAGUUGCUCCAAAACAUGACAGGAAUUCCAACUGAGCUUUUCAUUGGCCACAAAAUAUACACUGUAUACAAGUCUGGUCCCCUCGCUAAUAUAAUUUUCUCUUGUAACUGUAAACUCAAGUGAGUUUGUCUUCAUUUCAAACUGCUCCAGUCUCUCUCCCUCUAGAGGUCGGUGAGAACAUAAUGGAAGCCUGUCCAGUCAUGGACCUUCGGAUCAUACAACCGCCUUGUUAAUUCCAUGUGGAUAAAAUGCUAUUAUGUUCUUGAAUAAUUAUUGUUGACGCAUUGCUAACAAAAUAUUUUAUCCAUUGUAUUUUUUUAAGCUUUGUUCUUGUAUCUGAAUUUUGGAUAUGCUUAAACCUGGGCAAAUUCACAUUAAAACACUGUUUACUUCUGUGUGA
Long non-coding RNA from Oncorhynchus keta (chum salmon), 3290 nucleotides. RefSeq lists it as uncharacterized. Lineage: Eukaryota; Metazoa; Chordata; Actinopteri; Salmoniformes; Salmonidae. The record is from RefSeq and is a predicted model, not a curated record. The transcript is spliced from 5 exons.